UUGAGCCGUAUGCGGGGAAACACGCACGUACGGUUCUUAGGGGGGAGUGCGCCGGUAAUGGUACACUCCUACCCUCC
This 77-nucleotide non-coding RNA is filed under the name Ralstonia sp. 25mfcol4.1. Lineage: Bacteria; Pseudomonadati; Pseudomonadota; Betaproteobacteria; Burkholderiales; Burkholderiaceae. The record is from RNAcentral.